GCGGCCGGCUGAAGCUAGGGGACGGGAAACGCUCUGUUGUCUGUUUGGAUGUGGUCACAGAUCCUGGGAAACCAUGGAAAGUGUUUUCUUCUGCGUGCUGACCUCACCGGGACGGAAUGGAGACUCCAAACAGCGGGACACGAGAGCUCUGGGGGAGGUGCUCCCCUCCCCUGGGGUGCGGCCGAGGGGGUGCCACCCACCCCGGGGGACCGCGCAGCACUGUCUGCACGCCCCUCACAAUCUGCGUUCCGCCCUCACCGAGGACACUCUCACGUGGUUUCAGUUUCUCUGCGGAAGCUGGACCCGGUCCCCAGCUCGCUCCGACGUACCCAGCGCACGGCGGGUCCCCCACGAUUAUCUGUGGCAUCAGCCCCUGCAAACCGCCUUGGCAGCUGGAGUAUCUGAGCACACAGCUGCAUCGGCAGCAGGCAUCACCCCCCUGCGUGCUGAUACUUUCAUUCAAUACCCCACGUUUAGAAAUGAAGCUCGGCGGCAGGCCUCCAGCACCUCGAAGAUCGGGGCAGGCCCGGGAGGGCCAAUGAUCACUUACUACGUAUCUGAUUAUAGAUCUAUUUCAACACGUGGGACCACCAUCUAAAUGACACGAGGAAGGAGCCGUUCACACCUGAAAUGUGUCAAGAAGCAGGAUUCACAGAAAUUACAGCAGGGAGAAG
RNAcentral lists this long non-coding RNA (674 nucleotides) under Mustela putorius furo (domestic ferret). Its description in RNAcentral is "lncRNA (ENSMPUG00000029038.1)". The record is from RNAcentral. Lineage: Eukaryota; Metazoa; Chordata; Mammalia; Carnivora; Mustelidae.